This 77-nucleotide transfer RNA is filed under the name bacterium. RNAcentral describes it as "tRNA-Arg". It matches the Rfam family "tRNA". Rfam says of the family: Transfer RNA (tRNA) molecules are approximately 80 nucleotides in length. The record is from RNAcentral. RNAcentral also lists the same sequence under 3 other names.
GGGUCGUUAGCUCAGCUGGAUAGAGCAACGGUCUUCGAAACCGUUGGUCAGGGGUUCGAAUCCCUUACGGCCCGCCA